This 253-nucleotide ribosomal RNA is filed under the name uncultured bacterium. RNAcentral describes it as "partial 16S ribosomal RNA". It matches the Rfam family "Bacterial small subunit ribosomal RNA", at positions 524 to 776 of the family's 1533-position model. The record is from RNAcentral.
UACGAAGGGUGCAAGCGUUGUUCGGAUUUACUGGGCGUAAAGCGCGCGCAGGCGGGUUAAUAAGUCAGGUGUGAAAUCUCGGAGCUCAACUCCGAAACUGCGCCUGAAACUGUUAACCUAGAAUCUCGGAGGGGGUAGGGGAAUUUCACAUGUAGGGGUAAAAUCCGUAGAGAUGUGAAGGAACACCGGAGGGGAAAGCGCCUACCUGGACGAGUAUUGACGCUGAGGCGCGAAAGCGUGGGGAGCAAACAGG